AGCGAACGCUGGCGGCAGGCUUAACGCAUGCAAGUCGAGCGGGCAUCCUUGUGGUGUCAGCGGCAGACGGGUGAGUAACGCGUGGGAACGUGCCCUUCGGUUCGGAAUAACUCAGGGAAACUUGAGCUAAUACCGGAUACGUGCGAGAGCAGAAAGGUUUAUCUGCCGAAGGAUCGGCCCGCGUCUGAUUAGCUAGUUGGUGAGGUUACGGCUCACCAAGGCGACGAUCAGUAGCUGGUCUGAGAGGAUGAUCAGCCACACUGGGACUGAGACACGGCCCAGACUCCUACGGGAGGCAGCAGUGGGGAAUAUUGGACAAUGGGGGCAACCCUGAUCCAGCCAUGCCGCGUGAGUGAUGACGGCCUUAGGGUUGUAAAGCUCUUUUCUCCGGGACGAUAGUGACGGUACCGGAGGAAUAAGCCCCGGCUAACUUCGUG
Molecule: ribosomal RNA, 437 nt
Filed under: uncultured bacterium
Lineage: Bacteria
Description: partial 16S ribosomal RNA
Rfam family: Bacterial small subunit ribosomal RNA
Source: RNAcentral